This 448-nucleotide ribosomal RNA is filed under the name uncultured bacterium. Its description in RNAcentral is "bacterial SSU rRNA". It matches the Rfam family "Bacterial small subunit ribosomal RNA", at positions 330 to 792 of the family's 1533-position model. The record is from RNAcentral.
UCCAGACUCCUACGGGAGGCAGCAGUGGGGGAUAUUGGACAAUGGGGGGAACCCUGAUCCAGCGACGCCGCGUGAGUGAAGAAGUAUUUCGGUAUGUAAAGCUCUGUCAGCAGGGAAGAAAGAAAUGACGGUACCUGACCAAGAAGCCCCGGCUAACUACGUGCCAGCAGCCGCGGUAAUACGUAGGGGGCAAGCGUUAUCCGGAAUUACUGGGUGUAAAGGGAGCGUAGACGGUUAAGUAAGUCUGGAGUGAAAGGCCGGGGCCCAACCCCGGGACUGCUCUGGAAACUGUGGUGCUGGAGUGCUGGAGAGGCAAGCGGAAUUCCUAGUGUAGCGGUGAAAUGCGUAGAUAUUAGGAAGAACACCAGUGGCGAAGGCGGCUUGCUGGACAGUAACUGACGUUGAGGCUCGAAAGCGUGGGGAGCAAACAGGAUUAGAUACCCCAGUA